RNAcentral lists this long non-coding RNA (1786 nucleotides) under Orbicella faveolata. RNAcentral's name for it is "uncharacterized LOC110066567". Lineage: Eukaryota; Metazoa; Cnidaria; Anthozoa; Scleractinia; Merulinidae. The record is from RNAcentral.
CGCAUUUAUUACAUCUCUUGCCGUACGCAGGGCAGUGCUGUUGGCAAGGUUGUUGAUGGCUGCCAUUGCACCAAUAACAAGGUGUCAAUUGCCAGUGCACAACUUCUUUUCCAGUUUUCGGCUUGCUUGUGAAGUUCACCUGUUCUUGAUUGCCUCUAGCGGUCUUCAUCAAUUGGUUGGCAUAGGUAGAGGCUUCAAAGCAUUUCGCAGUUUCGACCACUUCUUUCAAGGUAACCUUUGUUUGCGAGACGUCCUGAUGCCCUUGGCCUUUGCCAAUCAGUUUGAUGCAAAGCGUUUCGGAUGCUAAACCAGCAAUGGACUGAUCUUUCAUGAGCUCGUCAGCAAAAUUCUCGUACUCGCAUUGUGCACCCGGGUUGCGGACUCUUGUUUCCCACGAAGUGAUAGACUCGCUUUCAUCUUGAAUGAGGCCGAGAAAUUUCGGUCGUUCGCCAGAAACCCCGAUACUAGCGCCAUAAAGUUCUUUCAACGCAGCCACAACUAGGUGAGGUUUCUUCUGAUUCUCUUCAGUCAGCCCCAAACUUUAUUUGUAUAUCGAUCUCGCUGCCGGAGACAGAGAUGCUCAAAGGCAGGCCAUCGCAUUGUCCGGUUUAGUCCAUUUCUGUUCGUCACUUUCCGUUACUGGGUCAUACCAGUUCUGCAUAACACAAUAAUCCACUAAAUCUUCGAUGUACACUUCCAUGUCAUGUUUAUCAUCGCCCGUCGUUUUCAGAGAUGGGAAUGGAGAGGUAGGCGAAGCCAUGAUGCUUUAAAACACUUUAAAAUGGCUUAACCAGCUGCCACCAUGUUACACGUUGCUGUGUAAAUGAUCGAAUGAUUUAUUCAAGUAAGUACAUUAUACAUACUCAUUAUGCAUACAUAGUGCGUGCUGAUGUGAUAGAAUGUGCUGAUGCAUCUGAUUACACGUGCAUAUUACUUCAUGUACAACACCUUGAUGGUAAUCAAAAUUUUAAUUACAACAUCGGUUUAAUGUUGUGAUUGAAGGCACAUUUGUUAAUUACUCCAAGUAGAGAGAUUGAAAAAAUAGAUAGGACGAAGUUUUCUUUAGAGCUAUUCUUUCUUACAUAAUAACAAGGCAUUGACAAGGUAUGUACAAAUGCAAUUCUUUUCCCUAGCUGGAGAGAAGGGGUUUCUGAGAAGGUCAGGUUUGGGACUGGGGAAGAGGGUUUCGUAACUCUUGCUUCAAAGAAGGGUUUAAAAAAGUUAAGUAGGUGAUUGUUCAGUGUGUCUGGUCAAUUUCUGAUGUGAUAAUUGCAGCAAACAUUUUCUCAACAGAUUCUAAAUUGAUGAUGGAUUUCUUUACUUCGAAAUCAAAAGGAAUUUGUGGUGUUAAGAGCAGUGCAGCUUCCAGCAGUGUUUCAAGUGUUUCUUCCAGCUCUUCACAGUCCUCGCUAUUAUCAUCUCUAAUGGCAGAAGAAAAUAUCGACAAGGUGAGUAAACUAGGGAUAGGCAUAUAAUACAAUACUGAAAACAUAGAUUCACUUUACAUAAAGACAAAAAGUUAUUGUAUUUGAAGAAAAAAGGUUAGUGUACAACAUAUGAGUGCUUGAAGUAUGGUAACAAAAUGAAGGGCUGUCACUUCUAUUGAAAGUUAAUUAUCUGAUUGUUCGUAUUUAUUAGAUUUUAUCUGAAACAAAAGAUCAAACAGAAAGAGAAUUUGGCUCCAGGCUGGGGAGAUCUAUUGUGGCAUCUAGUACCACAUCUGUUUCGUCUGCAAAGUGAGCUAAAUUAGAAGAACCACAACCAUCUAAUAUUCCCGUAGAGAAGA